UUAAUAGAAGUGAACGUAGGACGUCCUGUGUGGAUUGAUCGAGAAGUCCCAAAUUUAAUUGUUGAUUUGGAAUGCCAAAUCUGUCAGCUUGUUCUGGAGACCAGAGUGGCUGAGAUUCCCUGGCACCGAGGAAUUGCCUCUCCUAGCCUGUUCCAGUCCGGUAUGACACAGGCUCUAUGACUCAACUGGGGAUAUACAGGGCUAAAAUUUGAAGGAUUAGGGGAAGGCAGAAGAUACAGAAACUUGAAAGCACAUACCACAAGACUCAAGGACAGCUUCUAUCGCACUGUUAUCGCUCUUGAACGGAACUCUAAUGUGCUAAUUGAAUUGCAUUUGAAACGACUCUUCACUGCAAGAUAAUUGCAAUGUUACCGAUAAAGCAGAAAAGACCGAUGACAACAAUUCUUCAAGAGCUGGCGAGGCAGCAAGAGGAGACUAUACAAAAUAGAAGCAGGACUAGGCCAUUCAGCCCCUCAUGCCUACUCUGCCUUCAAGAAGACCAUGAUUGAUGUUUAACCUCAACGCCACUUUCCUGCACUAACUACAUAUUCUAUGGUUCACUUAAUGUUCAACGAUCUAUUGACCUUAGUCUUGAAUAUACGCAGUGACUGAACCUUCACAUAACCCUCUCAGGCACUGAAUGUCAAAGAGACAAUUCCCUCUGGGUGAAGAAAUUUCUUCUCAUCUCAGUCCUAAACAUCCUUUAUUCUGAGACUAUGAACCCUAGUUCUAGACACCACAGCGAGUGAAGCAUCAUCCCUGCAUUUACCUUGUCAAGCUCUGUAAAGCCUUUGUACAUCCACCAGCACUCUGGAGAAUAUAGUUCCGGUCUGCAUAAUCUCUCACCACAGGACAAUUCCCCUACACCAGGAAUCAAUCUGCUGAGUCUUUAUUGUACUCCCUCUUUCACGUGUAUACCCUUUAUUAGGUAGGGAGAGGAAACUGUGACACAAUAAUCCAGGGCACUUUCACCACAGCACUAUAUAAUUAAACUAACAAUUUCCUUGGUUACAGCUGAGACAUGAGCAUCUAUUAUUUGAAAGGGAUGGAGAGUUUACUUCCAGAACUGGUGUGCCCAGCAUCAGAUGCCAGUUAUGCCUCCGGGAAUAUUGGCUGUGGCAUUUCAUAAUUUGCCCGUCUUAUUUUCCAGCCUUUGAAGCUAACGGGCUAAAAGUCGGGAAUGAUGAGCUGUCUGCCGAAACUGAUACUCUGGUAUGUUCUGUUCAUUCCAGUCGUGUUGUGUGACAGUGCCCUGGAGUGGGUAACUGUCCCACACCAGAUUGUAAACAAAUGAACAAAAGUUAAAGUGUACAUUUUUGUCUGUGGUUUGCUUUUGAAUUUAUUUGCCUUUUGUACAGCUUGCCAAAGCAUAGUUAAUUUGGCGGUAGGUACUGUAUCCAUUUUAUUACUUUUUACAUGUUGCUGCAUAGAUUUAAUAGAAUCUAGAAAUAGUAUGACAUAAAACUUGAUAUUUUAUCACAUACAUUUAGUGAGGCCCCCUCCAAGUCACAAAACUUUUUAUCAGCCUUAUAAUUUUCCCAAAGAAGGAUUAUAAAUGGUGUACAUUUGCUGCAAUGUGCAACUCUGAAAAGAUUGCCUAUUUGUAAAUACAUGUAAGUGAACAGACCUUCUUUAUUGCAAAAGGGGCUCCCUCUUCCCUCUCCUCCACCCCAUCACCAUGCUUGUUGAACACUAGUUCAGACCCCUGCAAUGUAAACCACAAGCAUAAUCAAUGAUACAAAUGUAAACACAACUUUAAGUAUUGGGUUUCCCGAUAUCCAGUGGAGUGAAGUUCUUUCCCUGAAUCCAAAGCAGGAUGGGAUUGGGGAGGGAAGGAGAUUAAUUCUUUGUGGAGAACCCCUUGAAGAUUUAAUUGGAUCCUGCCUCUACCAAUGCACAAAAGAGUAUUUGUAAACAUCUACAGUUUCAGAGAGGCUUGGGAUUUAUUUUUGAAAAUCUCAUUUCUGCAUCCUAGUAGCUGGUCAGAAACUGAAAUAGAAUUUGCCUUUAUUUUUAUUUGCUUCACAGAACAGCAACGGAACAUAGGUACUUUUUUUUAAACCUAUAAAGCAAAAUGUUUAACGGGAAAUGGGGGAAGAAGCCACACAAACAUCUAAACCUGACCAAAGCUACAAAUGAGCAGGAAAAAUGUAACAAUGUAGUCUUGCUUGGUUUUAAUUUUGGAAAAUGUACUAUCCACUUAAAAUGUUUCAAAUUCUUGACAAAGUGUUUGUGAUGCUUGGCUGGAGCUGAAUUAUCCAUUAUUGUAUUUAAAGUUUUCAAUUAAAUGAUCCAUCAAACUUGGCAGAAUUUUCAGAGAAGCAUAGACAUGAAUGCAUUAAGAAUGCGUUUGAGAAGUGGGCUUUGAGAGAUAUGCCCACGAGCAUGGCUUGGUAAUCCUCUUUAUGCUACUGGGAAGGAUACAAUGCCGAUUAUGUUUCGUGUUUAUGCAGUAUUAAUAGUAGGAUCUUAACGCAAUAUGUGACCUCGAUUUCUGUGGAGGAAAAUUAGACUUAAACGAUAUUUUGAUCCACUGGGACCAUCCUAUA
Pristis pectinata (smalltooth sawfish) is the source of this 2549-nucleotide long non-coding RNA. RefSeq lists it as uncharacterized. The record is from RefSeq and is a predicted model, not a curated record. NCBI's taxonomy places the organism in Eukaryota, Metazoa, Chordata, Chondrichthyes, Rhinopristiformes, Pristidae. The transcript is spliced from 3 exons.